This 435-nucleotide ribosomal RNA is filed under the name uncultured bacterium. RNAcentral describes it as "partial 16S ribosomal RNA". It matches the Rfam family "Bacterial small subunit ribosomal RNA", at positions 29 to 506 of the family's 1533-position model. The record is from RNAcentral.
AGCGAACGCUGGCGGCAGGCUUAACACAUGCAAGUCGAGCGGGCAUCCUUGUGGUGUCCGCGGCAGACGGGUGAGUAACGCGUGGGAACGUGCCCUUCGGUUCGGAAUAACUCAGGGAAACUUGAGCUAAUACCGGAUACGCCCUUUUGGGGAAAGGUUUACUGCCGAAGGGUCGGCCCGCGUCUGAUUAGCUAGUUGGUGAGGUUAUGGCUCACCAAGGCGACGAUCAGUAGCUGGUCUGAGAGGAUGAUCAGCCACACUGGGACUGAGACACGGCCCAGACUCCUACGGGAGGCAGCAGUGGGGAAUAUUGGACAAUGGGGGCAACCCUGAUCCAGCCAUGCCGCGUGAGUGAUGACGGCCUUAGGGUUGUAAAGCUCUUUUCGCCGGGACGAUAAUGACGGUACCGGAGGAAGAAGCCCCGGCUAACUUCGU